RNAcentral lists this ribosomal RNA (377 nucleotides) under uncultured Planctomycetota bacterium. RNAcentral's name for it is "bacterial SSU rRNA". It matches the Rfam family "Bacterial small subunit ribosomal RNA", at positions 521 to 896 of the family's 1533-position model. Lineage: Bacteria; Pseudomonadati; Planctomycetota. The record is from RNAcentral.
UAAUACGGAGGGUGCAAGCGUUGUUCGGAAUCAUUGGGCUUAAAGAGCUCGUAGGCGGAUAGUUAAGCAUCUUGUGAAAUCCCUUGGCUUAACCAAGGAACUGCUCGAUGUACUGGCUAUCUUGAGGCAAGUAGAGGUACGUGGAACUCCAGGUGGAGCGGUGAAAUGCGUAGAUAUCUGGAGGAACGCCAGUGGUGAAAACGGCAUACUGGGCUUGUUCUGACGCUGAGGAGCGAAAGCAUGGGUAGCGAACGGGAUUAGAUACCCCGGUAGUCCAUGCCGUAAACGAUGCCUACUAGGUUGUGGGCGGUCUGACCUUUCCACAGCCGUAGCAAAAGUAUUAAGUAGGCCGCCUGGGGAGUACGGUCGCAAGGCUA